Molecule: transfer RNA, 74 nt
Filed under: Nanobdellota archaeon
Lineage: Archaea; Nanobdellati; Nanobdellota
Also listed under: 1 other name
Description: tRNA-Trp
Rfam family: tRNA
About the family: Transfer RNA (tRNA) molecules are approximately 80 nucleotides in length. Their secondary structure includes four short double-helical elements and three loops (D, anti-codon, and T loops).
Source: RNAcentral
GGGGCUGUAGUAUAACCUGGCUAGAAUAGCUGGCUCCAGACCAGCGGAUCUGGGUUCAAAUCCCAGCAGCCCCA